RNAcentral lists this long non-coding RNA (1257 nucleotides) under Homo sapiens (human). RNAcentral describes it as "HSALNT0304818". The record is from RNAcentral. Lineage: Eukaryota; Metazoa; Chordata; Mammalia; Primates; Hominidae.
GGCCUUUCCUCUUGGAAAUCUCCUCCCUCUCCCUAGAGAGAGAGAGAGCUGUUUUCUUUUCUUUUUCUUUUCCCAUUAAACCUCUGCUCCUAAACUCCUCAUAUGUGUCUGUGUCCUAAAUUUUCUUGGUGCAAGAGGAUGAACCCCAGGUUCAGGGAAUGCAUGUGGAGGUUUGGUACAUGGCGAUAUUGCUUGUUGCUGAGGCUCAGUGUAAGAAUGAUCCUGUCACCAAGAAGGAAACAAGAAUAAAGACCCUUGUAUAUGGAGUAUAAAAGAAGAAAUGAAUAAUGCAGCUGACUGAAGAGGGGGACUCAGUAACUGAAGAGCUGGGAAAGCGGAUUGAAAGGAUUGAAGACUUAGGUGUUUGCCUCAAGACCCUGGGAGUUCUUUAUCCAGUUCUCUUAUUUUUGUUUUGUUUUGUUUCUCAUUUGAUGGGAAGAAAAGAUUUGAGAGAAGGGUAACUCCAGGAAGCUGUUUUAACAACCUCAGAACUAGAAUACUUUGCCACAGAGUUAUAAGAUACUUCUUUUUUGCUUUUACUUUUGUUUUUGUUUUUUGACAUUUGUUUCUGUUUCAAAAAUGUUCAAUUAAAAUAUGUGGCAAAGACAUUCUGUUCACACACCCCAUCCAUUGCAAUGACAGUUCCCAGCUUCAAACCUGCAAACCGACUUUUUUUUGGAAACCAGUUUGUCUCCUAAUAGCAUUUGGUUGCUUUUAUCUCCUUACUUUUGAUUUAAAAAAAUGUUUUUCUCCUUCUAUGUGAAAUUUCAUUUCAAAAAGAAGACUGAUGGCAGGCAUUGAAUCUGGAAGCUCUUCCACCCAGAGUGACAAAAAUAAAGAGUGAUGCUGAAAGCUGCACUGCAUGAAAUCCUCUCUCUGCCGUCCUUUCUCCAAAUCCCUUGCUGGCUCUAAAGAGAUCUCCUGAGAACAGAAAUUGUACAUUGACAUUGACUGGUUUUUAUUCAACGAUUAAGCCACACCUCAUCUCCUGUAUUUUCCAAAUAGACAGCAGGGCUGUUUUCUUAAAAGUGAAAGAAAACGUUGACAAGGAUCUCACUAUAUUAGAUCAUUUCCAAGGUCACUCAUGACCCUAUUAUCUCCUGCUCUCCAGUAGCCUAAACACGGGAUCAGAGGGUAGUAGAAUAUCCUUAACAUUGGCUUCUAUAGGUGUGUUGCUGCUAACUUGGAGAGGGCAGAGACAGGCUAUUACAGACUUCUUUCAUGAUGCAAAUGUGGGAGCUAGUCCUUUGUUACCAG